GAAAAGAAGGAAACGGCACCACAGUGAGCAUUCCUGCACGCAAACUUUCAUCUCUCUCUCUCUUUCGUUCGUUCGAUGUUUCACAUCAAAGUUUUCGAAAAUCUCGUCAGGAUAAAGAAAAGAAAAAGAAAAAAGAAACAAAACAAGACAACAACGGAAAAAGGGGGAAAAUCCGGGCGCUCGUAAAAUAUUAAAGAUGGAUAGAAAAAAAAGCGCGCGCAACCAACCAUUUCCAGGCUGGGCGCACGCGCGUUUCAUGGGCAGAGGGAAAGGAUAUUUCCAACUUCAUUGGUCAUCAUCCUGUUUUGUGUUUAACUACCGACAUAAUCAACAUUCGACCGUUCCUAUAGUGUUAUUAUCCACACAGGGCCUUUACGUCGACCGACCGGAGCCCAUCGAGAAAUCCGCCACGCCAGUUCCUCCGCCCGUCUCUCCAAGUGUAUCACUGUAAAAGCUGCAAACGCAGGAAAGAAACGAAAACAAAGUUUCGGCUAUUUCUCUCGAGUUCCAGCCCAACAAAUGUGAAAUGAGCUCAACUAAUAUGCAAGUCCAUCUCGUCUAGAAAAAAAAAAAAAAAACGUCGUCAUCGUUUUGUCGACCACUAAACCACCAUCAACUUGUUGCGUGUUUUUGUUUCUUCUUGCCUCUUUUGGGACGCGAAUAAAUUCCAGAGAAAAUUGAAA
Daphnia pulex (common water flea) is the source of this 683-nucleotide long non-coding RNA. RefSeq lists it as uncharacterized. The transcript has 2 exons. Lineage: Eukaryota; Metazoa; Arthropoda; Branchiopoda; Diplostraca; Daphniidae. The record is from RefSeq and is a predicted model, not a curated record.